RNAcentral lists this ribosomal RNA (402 nucleotides) under uncultured bacterium. RNAcentral's name for it is "bacterial SSU rRNA". It matches the Rfam family "Bacterial small subunit ribosomal RNA", at positions 42 to 459 of the family's 1533-position model. The record is from RNAcentral.
UCAGGCCUAACACAUGCAAGUCGAGCGGGGUUUUCGGACCUAGCGGCGGACGGGUGAGUAAUGCGUAGGAAGCUACCCGAUAGAGGGGGAUACCAGUUGGAAACGACUGUUAAUACCGCAUAAUGUCUACGGACCAAAGUGUGGGACCUUCGGGCCACAUGCUGUCGGAUGCGCCUACGUGGGAUUAGCUAGUUGGUGAGGUAAUGGCUCACCAAGGCGACGAUCCCUAGCUGGUUUGAGAGGAUGAUCAGCCACACUGGAACUGAGACACGGUCCAGACUCCUACGGGAGGCAGCAGUGGGGAAUAUUGGACAAUGGGCGCAAGCCUGAUCCAAAAGUGCCGCGUGUGUGAAGAAGGCCUUCGGGUUGUUUUUCAGGGCAGCGAGGAGGAAGGGUUGUGUG